AGAGUUUGAUCAUGGCUCAGAUUGAACGCUGGCGGCGUGGCUAAAGCAUGCAAGUCGUACGCACCCGCAAGGGUGAGUGGCGGACGGGUUAGUAAUACGAUCGAACGUACCUCGAGGUGGGGGAUAGCGGCGGGAAACUGCCGGUAAUACCCCAUGAUCUCUCCGGAGCAAAGGGUAACCGCCUUGAGAUCGGCGAUCGUCCUAUCAGCUAGUUGGCGGGGUAACGGCCCACCAAGGCGAUGACGGGUAGCAGGUGUGAGAGCACGACCUGCAACAUCGGGACUGAGACACUGCCCGGACUCCUACGGGAGGCUGCAGCGACGAAUCUUCCGCAAUGGGCGCAAGCCUGACGGAGCGACGCCGCGUGUGGGAUGAAGCGCCUCUGGCGUGUAAACCACUGUCAGGGAACAGAAACAAUGAUCGUUUCCAGAGGAAGGGGCGACUAACUCUGUGCCAGCAGUCGCGGUAAGACAGAGGCCCCGAGCGUUAAUCGGAAUCACUGGGCUUAAAGGGUGCGUAGGCCGGCCCGCAAGUGCUUUGUGAAAUCCCAUGGCUCAACCAUGGAACAGCAGGGCAUACUGCGGGUCUUGAGGAAGGUAGGGGUUGCCGGAACUGUAGGUGGAGCGGUGAAAUGCGUAGAUAUCUACAGGAACGCCGAUGGUGAAGACGGGCAACUGGGCCUUUCCUGACGCUGAGGCACGAAAGCGUGGGGAGCAAACAGGAUUAGAUACCCUAGUAGUCC
This 742-nucleotide ribosomal RNA is filed under the name uncultured bacterium. RNAcentral describes it as "bacterial SSU rRNA". It matches the Rfam family "Bacterial small subunit ribosomal RNA", at positions 8 to 796 of the family's 1533-position model. The record is from RNAcentral.